This is a long non-coding RNA of Mus musculus (house mouse), 1372 nucleotides long. RefSeq lists it as uncharacterized. NCBI's taxonomy places the organism in Eukaryota, Metazoa, Chordata, Mammalia, Rodentia, Muridae. The record is from RefSeq and is a predicted model, not a curated record. The transcript has 2 exons.
GAGUCGGACUCGGCGCGCUGCCUGGCGCGGCUCGCUCUUCAGGUGCGCCGCCCCGAGUUGUCGCUGCUGGAGAGCGCGAGCGGGCUCCUGGGUCACCCAGACUGUGUGUCAUCCCGAAGCCAGCAGAGCUGGGGCCAUAGUGCUUGACUGAUAGGGGCUGAGGAUGAAUACGGCGGCCAGAAAGCCCAGCUCUGCCUCCUGUUGUUAAUGAAGAUUUUCUCUGGAAUACAGGCAGAAUGCCUAUACCAUUCCGACGGAUAACGCGAAAGCCUACCUAGCACUGGGAUUAAAGAUAUGCAGAACUCUCAGCUACCUUUCUAGCACCGUGUUUCCUACCAGGACAAUAAAGGACUAAACCUCUGAACUGUAAGCCAGCCCCAAAUUAAAUGCUUUCCUUUAUGAGAGUGGUGGUUGCUAGGCAGUGAUGGUUUAAUUCCAGCACUUGGGAGGCAGAGGCAGGAGGAUCUAGAGGCUGAGAUCCAGGGCAGCCAGGGCGAACAGAGAGACCCUGUCUCGGAAAGACAAGACAAGAAAAGAAAAACGGAGAAAGAGAGAAAAAAAAAUGUUCACAAUGUGAUCUUGCUUGGAAUUUGUCUUUGUUUUUAGUGUUAAGUAGAGAGCUAGCUUAUUUUUCCUAAAUAGGCGUUUACCUAACUCAUUUACACACGCAUGCACGCACACCCACACAUACAUUGUUGAACAGAAAACCAAACAAGUUCACCCAUCAUGGAUGGCAGGGGUGUUAAAUAACCCACUUUAUAGUUCCCUCAUAACUUGCUUCUAAUACUGCAUAAGCUAUCAGGUCUCCAAGUGCCUCAGGGACUUAUAUACUGAGCUUCACAAAUUCUUCUCCUUCCCCAUACUUGAUUUAAACUGUGUGGCUUAUUAAUAACUUUUACCUGAAAUAGGCCUGUAUAAUUCAUUGAUCAAAAAUAAAGGGUGAAUGAAAAAGAGAAAAAGUUACUUGAGAUAUGAAAAUUAACCCAGCAGGAACUAGUCCGCUUCAGAGCAUUGUGCAGACAGGCUCCCCCAUCCUCUGCUCAUGCACAUGAAUGUGCAAGGGUGCCCCUUCUUCAUGGUGAUGGUGGAUGCAGGCCAGUGAAGAGAAAUGGUUACCAUGCUACUCCUGCUGCUCUAAUACAACGAGUGAAUCUCCUUAUCCUACCUCAAACUUUGGUAGGACAUGAUAACCUUUUAAAAUAGUGCGAAACAACAUGAGCUAUAAAAGCUAUUCCUAAAUAUGACAAAACGCUAGCACUAAACAGGAAGCCCUCCCCAAUGAAUUAUGAAAAACUUUACCAAAAAUAGUUUAUUGCAUAAAAUGUAAGGAGUUCCCAAGCACACUUAUAUUAAAAAAAAAAAAAAGGCAAAA